This 1550-nucleotide ribosomal RNA is filed under the name Salmonella enterica. RNAcentral describes it as "partial 23S ribosomal RNA". It matches the Rfam family "Bacterial large subunit ribosomal RNA", at positions 1398 to 2925 of the family's 2925-position model. The record is from RNAcentral. Lineage: Bacteria; Pseudomonadati; Pseudomonadota; Gammaproteobacteria; Enterobacterales; Enterobacteriaceae.
GAGGCCGAAAGGCGUAGUCGAUGGGAAACGGGUUAAUAUUCCCGUACUUGGUGUUACUGCGAAGGGGGGACGGAGAAGGCUAUGUUGGCCGGGCGACGGUUGUCCCGGUUUAAGCGUGUAGGCUGGUUUUCCAGGCAAAUCCGGAAAAUCAAGGCUGAGGCGUGACGACGAGGCACUACGGUGCUGAAGCAACAAAUGCCCUGCUUCCAGGAAAAGCCUCUAAGCAUCAGGUAACACGAAAUCGUACCCCAAACCGACACAGGUGGUCAGGUAGAGAAUACCAAGGCGCUUGAGAGAACUCGGGUGAAGGAACUAGGCAAAAUGGUGCCGUAACUUCGGGAGAAGGCACGCUGACAUGUAGGUGAAGUGAUUUACUCAUGGAGCUGAAGUCAGUCGAAGAUACCAGCUGGCUGCAACUGUUUAUUAAAAACACAGCACUGUGCAAACACGAAAGUGGACGUAUACGGUGUGACGCCUGCCCGGUGCCGGAAGGUUAAUUGAUGGGGUCAGCGCAAGCGAAGCUCCUGAUCGAAGCCCCGGUAAACGGCGGCCGUAACUAUAACGGUCCUAAGGUAGCGAAAUUCCUUGUCGGGUAAGUUCCGACCUGCACGAAUGGCGUAAUGAUGGCCAGGCUGUCUCCACCCGAGACUCAGUGAAAUUGAACUCGCUGUGAAGAUGCAGUGUACCCGCGGCAAGACGGAAAGACCCCGUGAACCUUUACUAUAGCUUGACACUGAACAUUGAGCCUUGAUGUGUAGGAUAGGUGGGAGGCUUUGAAGUGUGGACGCCAGUCUGCAUGGAGCCGACCUUGAAAUACCACCCUUUAAUGUUUGAUGUUCUAACGUGGACCCGUGAUCCGGGUUGCGGACAGUGUCUGGUGGGUAGUUUGACUGGGGCGGUCUCCUCCUAAAGAGUAACGGAGGAGCACGAAGGUUGGCUAAUCCUGGUCGGACAUCAGGAGGUUAGUGCAAUGGCAUAAGCCAGCUUGACUGCGAGCGUGACGGCGCGAGCAGGUGCGAAAGCAGGUCAUAGUGAUCCGGUGGUUCUGAAUGGAAGGGCCAUCGCUCAACGGAUAAAAGGUACUCCGGGGAUAACAGGCUGAUACCGCCCAAGAGUUCAUAUCGACGGCGGUGUUUGGCACCUCGAUGUCGGCUCAUCACAUCCUGGGGCUGAAGUAGGUCCCAAGGGUAUGGCUGUUCGCCAUUUAAAGUGGUACGCGAGCUGGGUUUAGAACGUCGUGAGACAGUUCGGUCCCUAUCUGCCGUGGGCGCUGGAGAACUGAGGGGGGCUGCUCCUAGUACGAGAGGACCGGAGUGGACGCAUCACUGGUGUUCGGGUUGUCAUGCCAAUGGCACUGCCCGGUAGCUAAAUGCGGAAGAGAUAAGUGCUGAAAGCAUCUAAGCACGAAACUUGCCCCGAGAUGAGUUCUCCCUGAGACUUUAGGUCUCCUGAAGGAACGUUGAAGACGACGACGUUGAUAGGCCGGGUGUGUAAGCGCAGCGAUGCGUUGAGCUAACCGGUACUAAUGAACCGUGAGGCUUAACCUUACA